RNAcentral lists this ribosomal RNA (253 nucleotides) under uncultured bacterium. RNAcentral's name for it is "partial 16S ribosomal RNA". It matches the Rfam family "Bacterial small subunit ribosomal RNA", at positions 524 to 776 of the family's 1533-position model. The record is from RNAcentral.
UACGGAGGGUGCAAGCGUUGCUCGGAUUUACUGGGCGUAAAGCGCGCGUAGGCGGUUUAGUAAGUCUGGUGUGAAAUCCCACGACUCAAUCGUGGAAGUGCAUUGGAUACUGCUAGACUGGAGUACAGGAGGGGUAGGCGGAAUUCCUGGUGUAGAGGUGAAAUUCGUAGAUAUCAGGAGGAACAACGGCGGCGAAGGCGGCCUACUGGACUGUUACUGACGCUGAGGCGCGAAAGCGUCGGGAGCAAACAGG